CCUACGGGCGGCAGCAGUGGGGAAUAUUGCACAAUGGGGGAAACCCUGAUGCAGCGACGCCGCGUGAGUGAAGAAGUAUCUCGGUAUGUAAAGCUCUAUCAGCAGGGAAGAAAAUGACGGUACCUGACUAAGAAGCCCCGGCUAACUACGUGCCAGCAGCCGCGGUACUACGUAGGGGGCAAGCGUUAUCCGGAUUUACUGGGUGUAAAGGGGGCGUAGGCGGGGAUGCAAGUCCGGAGGGAAAUCCCAUGGGUUAACGCUCGUACUGCUGUGGAAACUGUUGAGCUUGAGUGGGGGAGGGGCAGGCGGAAUGCCUAGUGUAGCGGUGAAAUGCGUAGAUAUUAGGAAGAACACCGGCGGCGAAGGCGGCCUGCCGGACCGUAACUGACGUUGAGGCUCGAAAGCGUGGGGAGCGAACAGGAUUAGAUACCCUUGUAGUC
Molecule: ribosomal RNA, 440 nt
Filed under: uncultured bacterium
Lineage: Bacteria
Description: partial 16S ribosomal RNA
Rfam family: Bacterial small subunit ribosomal RNA
Source: RNAcentral